RNAcentral lists this ribosomal RNA (811 nucleotides) under uncultured Prevotella sp. RNAcentral's name for it is "bacterial SSU rRNA". It matches the Rfam family "Bacterial small subunit ribosomal RNA", at positions 8 to 807 of the family's 1533-position model. Lineage: Bacteria; Pseudomonadati; Bacteroidota; Bacteroidia; Bacteroidales; Prevotellaceae. The record is from RNAcentral.
AGAGUUUGAUCCUGGCUCAGGAUGAACGCUGGCUACAGGCUUAACACAUGCAAGUCGAGGGGAAACGACGGGGAAGCUUGCUUCCCCGGGCGUCGACCGGCGCACGGGUGAGUAACGCGUAUCCAACCUGCCUCUGACUGAGGGAUAACCCGUCGAAAGUCGGCCUAAUACCUCAUGGCAUCGUCUGCGGGCAUCCAACGACGAUUAAAGAUUUCAUCGGUCAGGGAUGGGGAUGCGUCUGAUUAGCUGGUUGGCGGGGUAACGGCCCACCAAGGCGACGAUCAGUAGGGGUUCUGAGAGGAAGGUCCCCCACAUUGGAACUGAGACACGGUCCAAACUCCUACGGGAGGCAGCAGUGAGGAAUAUUGGUCAAUGGGCGAGAGCCUGAACCAGCCAAGUAGCGUGCAGGAUGACGGCCCUAUGGGUUGUAAACUGCUUUUAUGCGGGGAUAAAGUGAGGGACGUGUCCUUCAUUGCAGGUACCGCAUGAAUAAGGACCGGCUAAUUCCGUGCCAGCAGCCGCGGUAAUACGGAAGGUCCGGGCGUUAUCCGGAUUUAUUGGGUUUAAAGGGAGCGUAGGCCGUGGAUUAAGCGUGUUGUGAAAUGCAGGUGCUCAACGUCUGCACUGCAGCGCGAACUGGUCCACUUGAGUGCGCACAACGCAGGCGGAAUUCGUCGUGUAGCGGUGAAAUGCUUAGAUAUGACGAAGAACUCCGAUUGCGAAGGCAGCUUGCGGGAGCACAACUGACGCUGAAGUUCGAAAGUGCGGGUAUCGAACAGGAUUAGAUACCCUGGUAGUCCGCACGGUAAAC